Molecule: long non-coding RNA, 4800 nt
Filed under: Anas zonorhyncha (Eastern spot-billed duck)
Lineage: Eukaryota; Metazoa; Chordata; Aves; Anseriformes; Anatidae
Description: lncRNA (ENSAZOG00000009434.1)
Source: RNAcentral
GACCAACUUUUAUUAUCGUAGAGACUGGCACAAGCUUCUAGUGCAAACAAUCACAUUGUCACUGUGAAAUGCAUCAUUUGUCAUUAAGGAGCAUUGGUAAUGUAAUUGUUAGGGAGCUACCUUUAAAAAAAAAAAAGCAAACCAGGUGGAAGUGAAUUACUUAAAACCAGAACACCUGCUCAUGACUUAAGUCUUAAUUGUGAUCAAUUGUUUCCACCUGUAGGUGUUGAUGGCUUCACUCAGAAACUUUUUUUUUCCCCCCACUCUGUCUGCUCUUCACAGAGGAAGUUUAAUCAUUUUUCUGGAUUUCCUUUUGCCUUCUCUUUGUAAAAAAUGCCUUGUGCUCUUCGGUGGUUCCAAGAAACUUCUUCAAAGGUGAGUGGCGUCUGAGGAAGUUGGUGUUGGUGGUGGAGGAGCUGGUUCCAGGGCGCGUCGUACCCUGCGGCUGGAGGAGAGGAUGUGUUGGGCAAGCAUGAAGCUUCAGGAGAAAAGUGGCUCCAGCAGAGACAGAGAGGGCAAGCACUCCCGUUCCUGACCCUGCGUGAGGCUGUGCCCGACCCUUCUGGGUGAGCAGCUGGUGGGGAAUGGCCUUCAAAAUGCACCACUUGUCUAACAGCAUGGAAAGUAAACUGUCACCUGCCAAUCCCUAUACCAUGGAAUACACCUCUUGGAAUUUACUUCAUCAAAUUUCUGUCUUAGGACUGAGUAUGGCAGGAAGCAAAAGGUAAAUUGGCUUUUUUUUUUUUUUUAAACUUCAACUCUACUUGCACAGCUCUACCCUCAUACAUAAUGUAUUCCUAAAAAUGUAUGCAGGUUUGAGCUGGCUGAACAUGGUCCCCUGGGUUAGAAUCAGUGCUACUUACAAGCUCGUGACGUGCCGGGUUGGUCCCCCCGUGCAGAAGGUCUGCGAAUGGAUUUCCCCCAGCCUUGCAGAGGCUUCGUUCUUGUCAAAGCGUCUGCCCUGCAGGCCUGGGCAGCUGGGGAGCCUUGACCCUUUUCUGAGCCAGGCUCUCAGACAGCGUGAAAGAGCCCAGAAUAUGAAAACUGCCUCUCAAGANNNNNNNNNNAACCGGAGCUUCCCUUGGCCAGCAGCCCUGCUCCAGGCUCAGCAAAGUUUUCUCUUUUUGCGAGAACAAAAGCUGGAGCGAGCCUGGAGCAGUCCCUUCAGACUGGCAGCGUGCACAGAGCAGGCAACAGAUGCUGGUGUUUUUUGUAAACCCAAAACCUAAUUAUGCUCAGAGCAGUCCCACAGGUCUGGGAGGGAAAAAAAAAGAAAUAACAACAAUUUGUGGAUUCCAGUUAUCAUGGCUGGGUUUUAAAGCAGCAGAACGUUUUUUUGGUGAUGCUCCCUCUCUGUGGCCUGAGGAAAGCAGGCAGGUUGGGUGCAGUGAUGGGCAGUGGGAGCUGAGCUCACCCUGGGGGCAUGGAGCCAGCGAUGGGGCUGAGAGGUCAGGGGGGAACCAGGCAGCCUGGGUGAGGGCAGGUGAGGCUGCUGCUGGGGUGCUUUUAGGGAACUCUGUCAGAUUAGAGUGUCAAAUUCCAGUGUGAAUCUGCACAGCUUAUUAUUUUUGUUGUUUCUGAGUGGGUAGGUCUUGUUUUUGUCUGUCUUGCACAGGCUUCGUUCUUGUCAAAGCGUCUGCCCUGCAGGCCUGGGCAGCUGGGGAGCCUUGACCCUUUUCUGAGCCAGGCUCUCAGACAGCGUGAAAGAGCCCAGAAUAUGAAAACUGCCUCUCAAGAAAAACAUAAAUUAUGAAGUGAAAAAACAUUGCUUUCUGCCAGGAUAUGGUUUGUGUACCCCCAAAGCAGAAGGAAAAACUCCAUGGAGGAAAAGUGAGGCACUUCCCAGAGCCCUGAAGGGCCUGGUGGAGCUCCCAGUUCAACUGGAUGAACAGCCCAGGGCAGGUUUUGCACAACAGCUUUUGUCUCUCUGCAAAUCUUCUUUCAGACACAGAAGGCUGGUGAUAGCUUCCGUGUGUGAAUCAAAACCUAAAAGGUUUUUAUGCUGCACGCUCUGCUUAUGCGUGAUGGAGGGGCAAUGUUACAGCCUGAAGAAGAGAUUGCUCUGAAUUGUGCUUGCACAACACCCUAGCAAUAACUGGGAAGUAAACCAGUUCCUGAAAGCCACUGGGGUCCUCUUGCAGAAACAUAUUCCCUGGAGGGCUCAGAAAGGUGGGAGAGGAGGCAGGGACAGGGGCAGCAGAGAGAGGACGGCAGCUUGCAGAGGGGUGAGCUCUGCCUGGAGUCCAUCAAAGCGCUGUGCUGAUUGAGAAUCUGCUCGUUAGGCACUUAUUUGUCCUGGGAGGUGUGCUAGGUUCAGCCCUGGCACAGCUCAAGGAAAGCAAAUGCUGAGACAACAGUUGGACAAAGCUGGAUCAGUCUUUUUAGUACCCUGGCAUGAUUUGUUGCAGCUGAGUCCUUCCAGCAAAUCCUUAAGAUUUUCAGCAGCUAUAAGCUUUUUAUAGCAAAUCAGAUUUUUGCACCCAUCUGGUUGACUGGUUAUAAACAUACAUCUCUCAAGUUGGCUUGUUAGGUUUUGUCAGUAUUAAAAAGGAAACCCACAAUGUGCAGCGGUGUAUUCAUCUGUAGCUGCUUUUGAUGACUUAUGCCUCUUGCAAAUGAACACAAAUAACCAAGAAAAGUGGUUUGCUUAUGAAAUCCUGAAGAAAAAAGCCUAAAACCCAGCGAAGCAACAGGUUGGCUUGUUGAAAACACCCAGGCAAGCUGACCAUGGUAGCUACUGAGAGUUGAGCACGACUGUUGGAUGUUGUUGGCAUUUUUGCUGGAUUAAAUGAUCACAUCUAGAAAGGGUCUGAAGUGUUUUUGCUGUUAAGAUUCUAGCAGCAAAGCUGAAAAAGGGUCACAGCAGCUUUAGACCUCACUGCUGCUUCAAGAUGUAGCCCAGGACAAACUUACAGCUAAGUCCUGCUGCGUUCCUUAAAACCAAAUAUUUCUUCGGUUUAAGGUGUGGAAAGGAUACAUCUGCAUUUCUGCAGUGUAGUGGACAUGAGGAAGGAGCUGGGUUGGGUUUGUUGUGGCCUGGUUAGCCUGCCUGAUGAAGUGCCAGCGAUGGUUGGUAGUGACCUCUCCUCUAGCAUGUGCACGGCUUCAGAGUAUUUGAUUUAGGGAAUCUCUGAUGCUUCAAUUUAUUUUACGACCCCAGUGGGCAGUGGAAUCAAUGGGGUGAGUGCUUCAAGUGGAAACCUCUGCCCACUGCCAAAGGGGACAUGGGGGACUUCACGUGUUGGGGCCAGGCAGCGUGGGGCUCCCGGCUGGCAGCUGGCUUUGAGGUUCAUCCCCUGUGGGAUGUGCAGGGCCCCAGAGCUGUCUGCAGUGUGCAAGGUGUGAUUUUGGCAAGGGGAGUGCUCUUCGUGGAGCAGCCGACUCUUUCCGCAGCGCCUUUCAGGCAGAUCUGCAGUUCUGAGCUUUUUAUAGCAAGUCAAAUUUCUUCACCCAUCUGCUUGUCUGCUUAUGAAAAUGCAUCCCUCUGGUGCACUUGUUACAUUUCAUUACUGUUAAGUAAAAUAAAAAGUCAACACACCUUGCCUACCAGUUUAUUCAUCUGCAUCUGCUUUUGAUGGAGUGCAUCUCCUAUAAGGAGGCGCACAGAUGCUCUGGAUGUGCUCAUCGCCCCCUGCCACAGCUUUCAGGUCCCUAAUAAUGAAAUCAACUUUGUUAAUGACAAGUGUAAAGGUAACAUGCAGCAAACUGAAUGGCCGCACUGGGUAGCUUUCCAGGCGGAUGUAUGCUGGAUAUGCGAUGCAGAUGCUGUCUUUCAUGAACAAUUAAAUUUCCCUUGAUUACACCCUCCUGAGAAGGACAAGUAGAAAAAGAGGCAGUAUUGUUAAUGGGGAGCUUUAGCUCUGAUUGCUUAAGUGCCUUCACGAAGAUAAGAUUCAGUAAAAAGUCAGUUAACACAUGUGAAUGGAAAUGUUAGAAGUUUGCUUAGGCCUCAGACAUUGCAUUUAUCAGAGACUUCUGGUGCCAUGGCCAUGGUCUGUGCUCCCUCUGCAUCUCUGCUGGUCCUGGUCUCACUGGGGAAUGACAACACACAGCUCUGGUCUCCAGGGAUGGCCACGUUAGCUUGCUCUAAUUUUGUCUCAUUGUCUGCAAGGUCUUAAAAAUUAAGAACGCUGCGCAUGUUUUAUUGCACAGAAUAUAAACAGUCAGCCCUCAGUGGGAAAGUUAAUUAAAAUGGCCAAUGCAUCAUAUUCCCAAUCAUCUGAGUACUGCUUGGUGCUCCCUGAGCCCUGACAUGUGCCCUCAGGACGUGCUGCCCAAAUCCAGCUUGUGCAGACCCAGAUGCGCAGGCAGCCAGGCUCAUGAGAUGCUCUGAGGUUCAUCGUAUGCUAAAAUACAAGAGCUGUUUGUUGUAAAGACAAAAACGUCCAAUUCUAGCCCAAUGCUACACUUCAGACUAAGACACAGCUAAUGAAAUCGUGCCUCAGAUUAAAUACUAAUUUUCUUCCUUUCCUCCUGCCUUUCUCUUCCACCGUGUCUAACUGCAAGUUUCCAGGUCCACCUGCUUGGGGUUAAAAGGGUUCACUCUGUUCUUCUUUCUCUAUCUUUCCAUCAUCUUAACGCUUUUUUGUUGUUGUUGUUUCCUUCCAUUUGCUGGCAUUUCCUUAGCUGGUCGAUGGCUAAAGUGGAUUGUUAAGAACCAAUUUUACAGCUUAUACGAAGGCGCUAAUAUCCACUGACACUUGCUUCAAAUCGCACUUUAGGUGGCCGUGUUCUGCCUCCUUUCACUUCCUUGUCAUUUUGCUUGGGAACAGUGUCAGCCCUGUCCUGAGCUGGCCAGCA